This 352-nucleotide unclassified non-coding RNA is filed under the name soil metagenome. RNAcentral's name for it is "partial contains 5.8S ribosomal RNA, internal transcribed spacer 2, and large subunit ribosomal RNA". The stretch from base 1 to 120 matches the Rfam family "5.8S ribosomal RNA", at positions 35 to 154 of the family's 154-position model. The record is from RNAcentral.
GAUGAAGAACGUAGCGAAAUGCGAUAAGUAAUGUGAAUUGCAGAAUUCAGUGAAUCAUCGAAUCUUUGAACGCACAUUGCGCCCGCCAGUAUUCUGGCGGGCAUGCCUGUUCGAGCGUCAUUUCAACCCUCAGGCCCCCAGUGCCUGGUGUUGGGGAUCGGCCCAGCCUUCCUGUAAGGCCGCCGGCCCCGAAAUCUAGUGGCGGUCUCGCUGUAGUCCUCCUCUGCGUAGUAGCACAACCUCACAGUUGGAACGCGGCGGUGGCCAUGCCGUUAAACACCCCACUUCUGAAAGUUGACCUCGGAUCAGGUAGGAAUACCCGCUGAACUUAAGCAUAUCAAUAAGCGGAGGA